RNAcentral lists this transfer RNA (76 nucleotides) under Methanobrevibacter sp. RNAcentral describes it as "tRNA-Pro". It matches the Rfam family "tRNA". From Rfam's summary of the family: Transfer RNA (tRNA) molecules are approximately 80 nucleotides in length. Their secondary structure includes four short double-helical elements and three loops (D, anti-codon, and T loops). Lineage: Archaea; Methanobacteriati; Methanobacteriota; Methanobacteria; Methanobacteriales; Methanobacteriaceae. The record is from RNAcentral.
CUGGAUGUAAUAUCAGUGGUAGAUGGCUCGUUUUGGAAGCGAGAGGUCGCAGGUUCGAAUCCUGCCAUCCAGACCA